AACCCUUAAGCUUAGUUGCCAUCAGUUAAGUUGGGCACUCUAAGUUGACUGCCGGUGACAAACCGGAGGAAGGUGGGGAUGACGUCAAAUCAUCAUGCCCCUUAUGAUUUGGGCUACACACGUGCUACAAUGGACAAUACAAAGGGUAGCGAAACCGCGAGGUCAAGCAAAUCCCAUAAAGUUGUUCUCAGUUCGGAUUGUAGUCUGCAACUCGACUAUAUGAAGCUGGAAUCGCUAGUAAUCGUAGAUCAGCAUGCUACGGUGAAUACGUUCCCGGGUCUUGUACACACCGCCCGUCACACCACGAGAGUUUGUAACACCCGAAGCCGGUGGAGUAACCAUUUGGAGCUAGCCGUCGAAGGUGGGACAAAUGAUUGGGGUGAAGUCGUAACAAGGUAGCCGUAUCGGAAGGUGCGGCUGGAUCACCUCCUUUCUAAGGA
RNAcentral lists this ribosomal RNA (440 nucleotides) under Staphylococcus epidermidis NIHLM053. RNAcentral's name for it is "bacterial SSU rRNA". It matches the Rfam family "Bacterial small subunit ribosomal RNA", at positions 1100 to 1533 of the family's 1533-position model. The record is from RNAcentral. Lineage: Bacteria; Bacillati; Bacillota; Bacilli; Caryophanales; Staphylococcaceae.